AUGGGGAAUUGCCUAGGCCCCAGGGCUGGCCUCAUUUGUGCCUGGUGCCGGGAGGCAGUGGCAUCAUGUUGUGGGACUCAGUCUGUGGCAGCUACACCACCAGAAUCCACGACUGCAGAGCCUGCCAUUUUACAUCCCGGAGUGGUGGAGGUCCAGCACGUGCAGCCCAAGUCAAAGCGGCGCAAAGGUUUGGCUGGCCGUGUGAGGAGCUGGGUACAAAAACGGAGGCGUAAAAAAAAUUGCCCCACUGCAAAUGAAGCUCCUCUUCAAGACCCAAAGGAGUUUACACGUGAAAACCUUAAGGAGACAUCACCUGACAUAGAGAAGCCUGCAGCCCAGUAUCGCCACUGUGGUGUUCAGGUCUCAGAGGACCUCAUUUUGCAAGACAUGGAAGACCAUGAGCUACCCCGUGAUGUGGAGAAGCCCGCCGCUUGGUGUCACCGCCGUCCCGUUGAGGUCCCACAGGACCUCAUAUUAGAAGACAUUGAGGAUGAUGAGCUACCCCGUGAUGUGGAGAAGCCCGCCACUUGGUGUCACCGCCGUCCCGUUGAGGUCCCGCAGGACCUCAUACUAGAAGACAUUGAGGAUGAUGAGCUACCCCGUGAUGAGGAGAAGCCUGCAGCCCAGUAUUGCCACUGUGCUGUUCAGGUCCCAGAGGACCUCAUUUUGCAAGACAUGGAAGACCAUGAGCUACCCCGUGAUGUGGAGAAGCCAGCAGCUUGGUGUCACCGUCGUCCCGUUGAGGUCUCACAGGACCUCAUAUUUGAAGACAUUGAGGAUGAUGAGCUACCCCGUGAUGUGAAGAAGCCCGCCGUUUGGUGUUACCGCCGUCCCGUUGAGGUCCCGCAGGACCUCAUACUAGAAGACAUUGAGGAUGAUGAGCUACCUCGUGACGAGAAGAAGCCCGCCACUUGGUGUCACCGCCGUCCCGUUGAGGUCCGGCAGGACCUCAUACUAGAAGACAUUGAGGAUGAUGAGCUACCCCGUGACGAGGAGAAGCCCGCCGCUUGGUGUCACCGCCGUACGUAUUCUUUUUCUUUUAAACAGUUACCCAGAGGUAGUGCAUAUGCAAACAAAUUCACUUAUUUAAAGUAG
Molecule: long non-coding RNA, 1095 nt
Filed under: Callithrix jacchus (white-tufted-ear marmoset)
Lineage: Eukaryota; Metazoa; Chordata; Mammalia; Primates; Cebidae
Description: lncRNA (ENSCJAG00000067051.2)
Source: RNAcentral